AUACUUACCUGGCAAGGGAGACACCGUGAUCAAGAAGGCGGUUCACCCAGGGUGAGGCUCAGCCAUUGCACUCCGGCUGUGCUGACCCCUGCGAAUUUCCCAAAUGUGGAAAUCUCGAUUGCAUAAUUUCUGGUAGUGGGGGACUGCGUUCGCGCUCUCCCCUG
Small nuclear RNA from Salmo trutta (river trout), 164 nucleotides. Its record names the gene U1. It matches the Rfam family "U1 spliceosomal RNA". Rfam says of the family: U1 is a small nuclear RNA (snRNA) component of the spliceosome (involved in pre-mRNA splicing). Its 5' end forms complementary base pairs with the 5' splice junction, thus defining the 5' donor site of an intron. NCBI's taxonomy places the organism in Eukaryota, Metazoa, Chordata, Actinopteri, Salmoniformes, Salmonidae. The record is from Ensembl.